AAAAACAUUUCCUCUUGGUAUAAGAGGUAAGGCCUGCUCACUGACUAGGUUGAAGAGCCGCAGUAUAUUGACUGUGCUAAGGUAGCAUAAUCAUUAGUCCUUUAAUUGGGGACUGGUAUGAAUGGCUAAACGAGAAAUUAGCUUUCUUUGUUAUGGUUUGUUGAAUUUAACUUGUAAGUGAAAAGGCUUACAUGAUUCAGAAAGACGAGAAGACCCUAUAGAGUUUUACAAAGGCCUAAAAUACAGCUUAUUAGUUUUUAAGGGUUAUAUUUUGGAAAUUUGUUUGGUUGGGGCGACAUAAAGAUAAAAAAAACUCUUUGUAGUAUAAACUUUGGUGGAAGAAAAGGUUUGAUCCUCUAAAAGGGAUUAUAAGAAAAAAUUACCUUAGGGAUAACAGCGUAAUCUUCUUUUAGAGUUCCAAUCGACAAGAAGGUUUGCGACCUCGAUGUUGGACUAAAAUUUGGGCAAGGUGCAGCAGCUUUGUUUUUGGGUCUGUUCGACCCGUAAUAUUUUACAUGAUCUGAGUU
This 527-nucleotide ribosomal RNA is filed under the name Capitulum mitella. RNAcentral's name for it is "partial large subunit ribosomal RNA". It matches the Rfam family "Bacterial large subunit ribosomal RNA", at positions 1809 to 2611 of the family's 2925-position model. Lineage: Eukaryota; Metazoa; Arthropoda; Thecostraca; Pollicipedomorpha; Pollicipedidae. The record is from RNAcentral.